RNAcentral lists this long non-coding RNA (365 nucleotides) under Sorghum bicolor (sorghum). Its description in RNAcentral is "long non-coding RNA (SBIC_LNC010656)". The record is from RNAcentral. Lineage: Eukaryota; Viridiplantae; Streptophyta; Magnoliopsida; Poales; Poaceae.
GAGCGUUGUUUACUUUAUGCUAUCAUUUUGUAUGAGACUAUGUGAUAUAUUAUAUUCCGCUAUGUAAUAAACACUGCAAUGGUACAUUUGAGAUUUGUCUACUUAUGUGUGCGACUAUUCCUGGGGCACAUAUGAGUCUUUUAUGCAUCCUAUUUUGUUCUUAAAAUAUGGGUGUGACAUAUUAAAGGCAAGUCUAAUGAAACCCUUAGAUGGAAGCAGCAAGUCUGAUGAAACCCUUAGAUGGAAGCUUUUUCCUUUCUCUUUGGAAGGAAAAGUUAAGAUCUGGUAUAGUAGAACCACACCAAGUAAGGAAGGGACUUGGGAAGCCCUUUGUUCUAGCUUUUGCAUGGACUUCUCUAUUCACA